Molecule: long non-coding RNA, 1006 nt
Organism: Symphalangus syndactylus (siamang)
Lineage: Eukaryota; Metazoa; Chordata; Mammalia; Primates; Hylobatidae
Source: RefSeq, a predicted model, not a curated record
UCAGCUGCAGUGGGGGACAGCUGCACAACGGCCCAGCGUGUCUGUGUGUUUACCCAGGGGACUGCCGCGUGGCCCAUGCCGAGCAGAAACUGAUGGAUGACCUUCUGAACAAAACCCGUUACAACAACCUGAUCGGCCCACCCGCCAGCUCCUCACAGCUCAUCUCCAUCGAGACGGAGCUCUUCCUGGCCCAGUGCAUCAGCGUGCCCCACCCUACUUUUCUCCCCCAGCUUGCUCAACAGGUGACCUUACAGGCUCCCUACUCUUUGGGGGGAAUAAGAACCAGACUGGGGAACUGACGGGUACAGAGGCCCAGGUGUAGGCGCAGGACCACAGGCAGUGCAGCGUCUACUGAGCCAGACACAGCAGAGAGAGCCUGCUCUAACUCUCCUGUAAACCUCCAUGAAUCAUGCAGGCGGCUGAUCAGAUCCCUGGACUCUCCUGGAAUGAGAGACAUUCAGAUGAGGCCCAAAGGACUCCCCCUAAAGUCCUGUCAAAGUGCCAGGUUGAAGGAUGACGGGGUGCCAGAUUCCCACCUUCCAACUGCUUGACAGCAUGCUGGCUGUAAUAGAGUGCCGUCUGAAGCUCCGUUUUCUGACAUGUAAGGAUUCGUAUGGUAUGAACCUGGGCCUUUGGGAGAAGAGACAAGCAAAUGCUGAAAGAGAAGCAAAGAAACAUUCUCCAGAGGACAGGAGGGAACGUCACACCCUCCACUCACCUCUAGCUCCCUCCUUAGGGCUUCCUGAUGUUGGAGGCUUGCCGUCUUUUCCUAUAGAAAGAGGAAGACAGAGUUCUUACUAGGCGGAGGCAGAGAUGGCACAGCAAGAGACAUGCCCCCAGAAUGGCACCACUGCCCCAGGACAGGCCCACCCAUGGGACCAGUUUAUCAGGGACCCUGUUGGGAUGGGGUGGAAUAUGGGAGGUGAGCCUUCUUCACCAGGCUGGGAGUGGGCGAGAUGAGACUGGGGCCUCUACAUCUGAGUGCCCCCAAACCCAGCGGUCAUGU